Molecule: long non-coding RNA, 751 nt
Filed under: Rattus norvegicus (Norway rat)
Lineage: Eukaryota; Metazoa; Chordata; Mammalia; Rodentia; Muridae
Description: long non-coding RNA NONRATT000288
Source: RNAcentral
AUUUGGCCGGCAUAAGAUAAAUGCAAAAAUGACGAUAAACCUCAAUUCAUAGGAUCUCAAACUUCCCGACAAUGGUAGGAUAUCCAAGGUAAGAUUGUCUAUGACAGAGCUGUGAGAGAAGCAUCCUUUUGACCAGCCUCCACCCCUGUUUUCCACAAGGUUUCCAAGCCCCGCAGCUCCUCUGACCUGGGCGUUCCAUGGUCGCCGGGCUGCUGCUCACGCUAUGGCGCUGUUGAUUGAUGAUUUUGCUCAGGACACCUCACGCCGCACCCGUAGAUGAGGGAGACUUUCAGGUCCUACUAGAGAAGCCCAUUACCCGGACCCCGGAUUCCGGACCUCGCAAUUCCCCCAGUCCCUCAGUGAAUGGUGGAUUUUUCUGUCACUCUGUCCAGGUUCCUUGGAGCCCCGCCCUAGCCCCGCCCACCACACGCCGGUUCCGGUUACGUGGUUUUUUUUUUUUUUUUUGUUGUUGUUGUUGUUUGUUUUUUAAACCUGCCCCUCCUAAGGGCAUUCUCUUUCUUAGUUUUCCAAGUCCACCCGAUUUCUUUUCUUUUCUUUAAAAAAAAAAAAAAAUCUUCGUCACCCUGCUGAUCAGCAUCCCCGCCCCGCAGAGACAGAUCCCUCCUACUCAGUCUUGGGCAGCCUGUCACACUUCUGUCGGGCUGCGCUGCACUUGCUCAGCGCUCUCCCACUAUGCUUGCUGACAUCCAGUCUAGAACUAGAUCUAUAGAACGCUGCACGCAGGUCUUAC